This 443-nucleotide ribosomal RNA is filed under the name uncultured bacterium. RNAcentral's name for it is "partial 16S ribosomal RNA". It matches the Rfam family "Bacterial small subunit ribosomal RNA", at positions 338 to 795 of the family's 1533-position model. The record is from RNAcentral.
CCUACGUGUGGCUGCAGUGGGGAAUAUUGGACAAUGGGGGGAACCCUGAUCCAGCGACGCCGCGUGAGUGAAGAAGUAUUUCGGUAUGUAAAGCUCUAUCAGCAGGGAAGAAAGAAAUGACGGUACCUGACUAAGAAGCCCCGGCUAACUACGUGCCAGCAGCCGCGGUAAUACGUCGGGGGCAAGCGUUAUCCGGAUUUACUGGGUGUAAAGGGAGCGUAGACGGUUACGCAAGUCUGGGGUGAAAGGCGGGGGCUCAACCCCCGGACUGCUUUGGAAACUGGAUAACUGGAGUGCAGGAGAGGUAAGUGGAAUUCCUAGUGUAGCGGUGAAAUGCGUAGAUAUUAGGAGGAACACCAGUGGCGAAGGCGGCUUACUGGACUGUAACUGACGUUGAGGCUCGAAAGCGUGGGGAGCAAACAGGAUUAGAUACCCUAGUAGUC